Long non-coding RNA from Camelus dromedarius (Arabian camel), 1021 nucleotides. RefSeq lists it as uncharacterized. Lineage: Eukaryota; Metazoa; Chordata; Mammalia; Artiodactyla; Camelidae. The transcript is spliced from 3 exons. The record is from RefSeq and is a predicted model, not a curated record.
ACUAGCAAGUGCCCGGGAAAAUGGUGCCGCCCGGGGAACAACCGUGGGCUGCCGCUCAGCGCCACCCUUACCGGUAACCACGUGUGGAGUGGAGCCUCCGGCAGGAGGUAAAUAAGAAGUCCUGUCAGUGCCUCAUUAUCCUGGGAAGCAGUGGUAGCAGAACAUUGUAAGACCCUUUUGAAGUUUGAUGUGGCCGUGCCACUUCAUUUGAUCAACAAAAUGGGAGUGGAAGUGAUGAGAUCAGGGAUACAGUCAGCCAUGCACUGCCUUCCCGUUCCCCAACUUGGUAAUAACGAAAGUGUGUUCUGUGACGGAGCCUCCAGCAUCCUGCUUUCCUGUGUGACUAUGAACAGAGCCCUGUUGUGGCCUGAAUUAAGCAGGAAUAAGAAGUAAACCUCUUCUUUGUCUGUUUAUAAGAAAUAUCUUCCUUCUCUGAGGUUAAAAAAAUUAUACAUUUUUGAUAAUAGUUUUAGAGGUUUAUUUUUCAAAUAUAGGUCUUUAAUUUCUUUGUGAUUACUUUUAUAGACGGUGCAAUUCCUUUUUCUUUUUGUUUUUUCAUAUGGAGAGCCAGUCAUCCCAACACUAUUCAUUGACUCAUCUUGUAAUAGGGAAGAACAAAUCUGACUCCAUGUUGGAUCUGUUUCUUUUACUUUAACCUUCUAUUCUGUUGCUUUUGCUACAAGUUAAGAAUGUUGCCUAUAGCCUGAAAUACACAGGAUAGCCUAUUCUCAAAGCUCUGACCUUUAAAGAUAUAACGCUUUUCCAUUCAUAUAGAGAUAAAAAGUUGCACAACAGAGACUAAUAUUUGUCUUGUUGGAAGUUUAUAAGAACAUUGUGACCUGACCUACCUGGACAACUGCAAGAACAGAUUCCUGUACCAAGAAGUUUGCAACAACCAACCACACCCUCUCCCCUUUUAGUAUAAAAGAAGCUUGAAUUCUAACUCAGGUAAGAUGAUUUUUUGGGACGCUAGUCUACCAUCUUCUCAGUCUCCUGGCUUUCUGAAUAAAGUCGCUGUUCC